CGGCAAUCUUGAUUCCAGCUUGUGCUUCUUCCAGUCCAGCACUUCUCAUGAUGUACUCUGUAUAUAAGUUAAAUAAGCAGAGUGACAAUAUACAGCCUUGGCGUACUCCUUUUCCUAUUUGGAACCAGUCUGUUGUUCCAGUUCCAGUUCUAACUGUUGCUUCCUGACCUGCAUAUAGGUUUACUUAUCACUUUUGUUUUCUCAGGUAUGACCUGCCUUUGUGCUUCCUUCUAACAGCUGGAAUGCUUUUUCUUAACAUGCUAUAGAGCUCUUGAGAUAGGAACUUUUGUCUUUCAUACGGGUUGUGGGUAUUUCCCCCAAUGUUCUGUUUGCCUUUAGAUUUUGUUUAUGAUAUCAUUUGACAUAGAAGUUUCAAAUAUUUAUCUCAUCUAAGAAGAGGUGGCAAGAAUACACAGAAGAACUGUACAAAAAAGAUCUCCAUGACCAUGAUAAUCACAAUGGUGUAAUCACUCAUCUAGAGCCAGACAUCCUGGAAUGUGAAGUCAAGUGGGCCUUAGAAAGCAUCACUACAAACAAAGCUAGUGAAGGUGAUGGAAUUCCAGUGGAGCUAUUUCAAAUCCUGAAAGAUGAUGCUGUGAAAGUGCUGCACUCACUAUGCCAGCAAAUUUGGAAAACUCAGCAGCGGCCACAGGACUGGAAAAGAUCAGUUUUCAUUCCAAUUCCAAAGAAAGGCAAUGCCAAAGAAUGCUCAAACUACCUCACAAUUGCACUCAUCUCACAUGCUAGUAAAGUAAUGCUCAAAAUUCUCCAAGCCAGACUUCAGCAAUACGUGAACUGUGAACUUCCUGAUGUUCAAGCUGGUUUUAGAAAAGGCAGAGGAACCAGAGAUCAAGUUGCCAACAUCCACUGGAUCAUGGAAAAAGCAAAAGAGUUCCAGAAAAACAUCUAUUUCUUCUUUAUUGACUAUGCCAAAGCCUUUGACUGUGUGGAUCACAAUAAACUGUGGAGAAUUCUGAAAGAGAUGGGUAUACCAGACCACCUGACCUACCUCUUAAGAAAUCUGUAUGCAGGUCAGGAAGCAAGAGUUAGAACUGGACAUGGAACAACAGACUGGUUCCAAAUAGGAAAAG
Molecule: long non-coding RNA, 1091 nt
Filed under: Bos indicus x Bos taurus (hybrid cattle)
Lineage: Eukaryota; Metazoa; Chordata; Mammalia; Artiodactyla; Bovidae
Description: lncRNA (ENSBIXG00000026602.1)
Source: RNAcentral